UGGGGAAUAUUUCACAAUGGGCGCAAGCCUGAUGCAGCCAUGCCGCUGGUGUGAAGAAGGCCUUUGGGUUGUAAAGCACUUUCAGCGGGGAGGAAGGCGAUAAGGUUAAUAACCUCAUCGAUUGACGUUACCCGCAUAAGAAGCACCGGCUAACUCCGUGCCAGCAGCCGCGGUAAUACGGAGGGUGCAAGCGUUAAUCGGAAUUACUGGGCGUAAAGCGCACGCAGGCGGUCUGUCAAGUCGGAUGUGAAAUCCCCGGGCUCAACCUGGGAACUGCAUUCGAAACUGGCAGGAUAGAGUCGUGUAGAGGAGGGUAGAAUUCCAGGUGUAGCGGUGAAAUGCGUAGAGAUCUGGAGGAAUACCGGUGGCGAAGGAGGCCCCCUGGACAAAGACUGCCGCUAAGGUGCGAAAGCGAGGGGAGCAAACAGG
Molecule: ribosomal RNA, 429 nt
Filed under: Chloroflexota bacterium
Lineage: Bacteria; Bacillati; Chloroflexota
Description: Chloroflexi bacterium partial 16S ribosomal RNA
Rfam family: Bacterial small subunit ribosomal RNA
Source: RNAcentral